Molecule: ribosomal RNA, 502 nt
Filed under: uncultured bacterium
Lineage: Bacteria
Description: partial 16S ribosomal RNA
Rfam family: Bacterial small subunit ribosomal RNA
Source: RNAcentral
GAUGAACGCUAGCGGCAGGCCUAACACAUGCAAGUCGAGGGGCAGCACAGAAACAGCAAUGUUUUGGUGGCGACCGGCGGACGGGUGCGUAACGCGUAUGCAACCUAUCUUUAACAGGGGGAUAACGGAGAGAAAUUUCCACUAAUACCCCAUAACAUCGAUCAAUGCAUCUUGAUUGGUUGAAAACUCCGGUGGUUAAAGAUGGGCAUGCGUUGUAUUAGGUAGUUGGUUAGGUAAUGGUUCACCAAGCCUACGAUACAUAGGGGGACUGAGGGGUUAGCCCCCCACACUGGUACUGAGACACGGACCAGACUCCUACGGGAGGCAGCAGUGAGGAAUAUUGGUCAAUGGGGGCAACCCUGAACCAGCCAUGCCGCGUGCAGGAAGACGGCUCUAUGAGUUGUAAACUGCUUUUAAACAGGGAUAAAGCACAGUAUGUAUACUGUGUUGAAGGUACUGUAAGAAUAAGGAUCGGCUAACUCCGUGCCAGCCGCCGCCGUAA